GAUGAACGCUGGCGGCGUGCCUAAUACAUGCAAGUCGAGCGAACGGACGAGAAGCUUGCUUCUCUGAUGUUAGCGGCGGACGGGUGAGUAACACGUGGAUAACCUACCUAUAAGACUGGGAUAACUUCGGGAAACCGGAGCUAAUACCGGAUAAUAUUUUGAACCGCAGGGGGCAAAAGGGAAAGACGGGCGGGCGGGCACGGAGAGAGGGAGCCGCGCUGCAUUAGCUAGUUGGUAAGGUAACGGCUUACCAAGGCAACGAUGCAUAGCCGACCUGAGAGGGUGAUCGGCCACACUGGAACUGAGACACGGUCCAGACUCCUACGGGAGGCAGCAGUAGGGAAUCUUCCGCCUUGGGCGGCCGCCUGUCGGGGCCCCGCCGCGUGGGUGCUGAAGGUCUUCGGAUCGUAAAACUCUGUUAUUAGGGAAGCCCAUAUGUGUCCGUACCUGUGCCCAUCUUGACGGUCCCUCCUCCGACAGCCCCGGCUCGCUCCGUG
Molecule: ribosomal RNA, 497 nt
Filed under: uncultured bacterium
Lineage: Bacteria
Description: partial 16S ribosomal RNA
Rfam family: Bacterial small subunit ribosomal RNA
Source: RNAcentral